RNAcentral lists this ribosomal RNA (253 nucleotides) under uncultured bacterium. RNAcentral's name for it is "partial 16S ribosomal RNA". It matches the Rfam family "Bacterial small subunit ribosomal RNA", at positions 524 to 776 of the family's 1533-position model. The record is from RNAcentral.
UACGUAGGGACCGAGCGUUGUCCGGAAUCAUUGGGCGUAAAGAGCGUGUAGGCGGCUAUUUAAGUCCUGCGUGAAAUCCUGCGGCUCAACCGCAGACGGUCGUGGGAAACUGGAUGGCUAGAGUGCGGGAGAGGAGAAUGGAAUUCCUGGUGUAGCGGUGAAAUGCGCAGAUAUCAGGAAGAACACCCGUGGCGAAGGCGGUUCUCUGGAACGCAACUGACGCUGAGACGCGAAAGCGUGGGGAGCAAACAGG